RNAcentral lists this ribosomal RNA (438 nucleotides) under Cosmospora viridescens. RNAcentral describes it as "eukaryotic LSU rRNA". The stretch from base 128 to 281 matches the Rfam family "5.8S ribosomal RNA". The record is from RNAcentral. Lineage: Eukaryota; Fungi; Ascomycota; Sordariomycetes; Hypocreales; Nectriaceae.
GAACAUACCUAUUGUUGCUUCGGCGGGAUCGCCCCGGCGCCCUCGGGCCCGGACCCAGGCGCCCGCCGGAGGACCCAAACUCUUGUCUUCAUGAGUAUCUUCUGAGUAAUACAAGCAAAUAAAUUAAAACUUUCAACAACGGAUCUCUUGGUUCUGGCAUCGAUGAAGAACGCAGCGAAAUGCGAUAAGUAAUGUGAAUUGCAGAAUUCCGUGAAUCAUCGAAUCUUUGAACGCACAUUGCGCCCGCCAGUAUUCUGGCGGGCAUGCCUGUUCGAGCGUCAUUUCAACCCUCAAGCCCCCGGGCUUGGUGUUGGGGAUCGGCCGCCCUCCGGCGCGCCGGCCCCGAAAUCUAGUGGCGGUCUCGCUGUAGCCUCCUCUGCGUAGUAAUACACCUCGCACCGGAACGCAGCCUGGCCACGCCGUUAAACCCCCCACUUC